GGUGGGUUGGCCGAGUGGUUAAGGCAGCGGUUUGCUAAACCGCGGCGGUCUAAAAAGCCGCCCGCAGGUUCGAAUCCUGCACCCACCGC
This 89-nucleotide transfer RNA is filed under the name bacterium HR34. Its description in RNAcentral is "tRNA-Ser". It matches the Rfam family "tRNA". Rfam says of the family: Transfer RNA (tRNA) molecules are approximately 80 nucleotides in length. The record is from RNAcentral.